Molecule: ribosomal RNA, 165 nt
Filed under: Veronica densifolia
Lineage: Eukaryota; Viridiplantae; Streptophyta; Magnoliopsida; Lamiales; Plantaginaceae
Description: 5.8S ribosomal RNA
Rfam family: 5.8S ribosomal RNA
About the family: 5.8S ribosomal RNA (5.8S rRNA) is a component of the large subunit of the eukaryotic ribosome. It is transcribed by RNA polymerase I as part of the 45S precursor that also contains 18S and 28S rRNA.
Source: RNAcentral
UAAACGACUCUCGGCAACGGAUAUCUCGGCUCUCGCAUCGAUGAAGAACGUAGCGAAAUGCGAUACUUGGUGUGAAUUGCAGAAUCCCGUGAACCAUCGAGUCUUUGAACGCAAGUUGCGCCCGAAGCCUUCUGGCCGAGGGCNYGCCUGCCUGGGCGUCACGCA